This 393-nucleotide ribosomal RNA is filed under the name uncultured bacterium. Its description in RNAcentral is "bacterial SSU rRNA". It matches the Rfam family "Bacterial small subunit ribosomal RNA", at positions 505 to 898 of the family's 1533-position model. The record is from RNAcentral.
GUGCCAGCAGCCGCGGUAAGACGAACCGUGCAAACGUUGUUCGGAAUCACUGGGCUUAAAGGGCGCGUAGGCGGGCAGGACAGUCGAAGGUGAAAUCCCACGGCUCAACCGUGGAAGUGCCUCCGAUACUUCUUGUCUUGAGGGAGAUAGGGGCGUGCGGAACUUCCGGUGGAGCGGUGAAAUGCGUAGAUAUCGGAAGGAACACCGGUGGCGAAAGCGGCGCGCUGGAUCUCUACUGACGCUGAGGCGCGAAAGCCAGGGGAGCAAACGGGAUUAGAUACCCCGGUAGUCCUGGCCCUAAACGAUGGGUACUAGGUAGUGGACUUACAUGGGUUCACUGCCGAAGCAAAAGUGUUAAGUACCCCGCCUGGGGAGUAUGGUCGCAAGGCUGAA